ACUCAAAUGAAUUGACGGGCACCCGCACAAGCGGUGGAGCAUGCUGUUUAAUUCGAAACUACGCGAAAAACCUUACCUAGACUUGACAUCCCCGGCAAAGCUAUAGAAAUAUAGUGGAGGUUAUCCGGGUGACAGGUGGUGCAUGGUUGUCGUCAGCUCGUGUCGUGAGAUGUUUGGUUAAGUCCAAUAACGAGCGCAACCCUCGUCUUUAGUUGCUAACAUUUAGUUGAGAACUUUAAAGAUACUGCCGGUGCAAGCCGGAGGAAGGUGGGGAUGACGUCAAAUCAUCAUGCCCCUUACGUCUAGGGCUACAGGCGUGCUACAAUGGCCAAUACAACGAGUCGCAACACGGCAACGUGAAGCUAAUCUCUUAAAGUUGGUCUCAGUCCGGAUUGUGGUCUGCAACUCGACCACAUGAAGUUGGAAUCGCUAGUAAUCCCGAAUCAGAAUGUCGGGGUGAAUACGUUCCCGGGUGUUGUACACACCGCCCGU
RNAcentral lists this ribosomal RNA (492 nucleotides) under uncultured bacterium. RNAcentral describes it as "bacterial SSU rRNA". It matches the Rfam family "Bacterial small subunit ribosomal RNA", at positions 899 to 1397 of the family's 1533-position model. The record is from RNAcentral.